GCCCGGGCGGCUCAGUCGGUUGAGCGUCCGACUUCCGCUCAGGUCACGAUCUCACAGUUUGUGGGUUCAAGCCCCGCAUCGGGCU
Molecule: transfer RNA, 85 nt
Filed under: Felis catus (domestic cat)
Lineage: Eukaryota; Metazoa; Chordata; Mammalia; Carnivora; Felidae
Rfam family: tRNA
About the family: Transfer RNA (tRNA) molecules are approximately 80 nucleotides in length. Their secondary structure includes four short double-helical elements and three loops (D, anti-codon, and T loops).
Source: Rfam by way of RNAcentral